GAUUCCUAUUUUUGGUCUCAGAUUGUGCCGAGGGCACAUGGGUUUGGUUUCUAGACCUGUUUUGACCCUAGCUACUUGACUUUGGCUUGUUAGAGCCUGAUUGAGCUCGACAGAGAUACGCUAUAUACUCGGUUGGGUAGCUCCCACGAGUGCCACUUCGGAGACGGGCGCUGUGCUUUUGCGUUGGUGUCGUUCGUGCAGGUUGGACUUGCUCUCCACGGACUGGUUAGUGUGGAGGUAGCUGUAUAGUCGCGACUGGGCGGGACCGGUGUGUUCACAGUCCCAGGGACGGGUAUGAUUGCAGUCCUUAUUUGAGAUUGGGUCUGAGUUGACACUGUUCUACAGAUGGUUAGAUUUAGAGCAUGAUAGUAUAGGGGCAUAUAGCUGUAGAUUUGUUCCAGCUUUCUUUACUAUUCCUGCUUAUCUCUGUAGACUUUGUGGGUGGACCGAUGAGUUUGAGGGCGGUACCUACUGAGGACUACUUAUUUUUAUAGUAGUUCUCAUGCCCAGUUUGUCACGCUCGGGUAUCAGCGGAAGCCUACCCGGUACGCGCACAGACCCGCCACACACCUGCAGUAUAUAUGGCGUCUACAAAAAAAAUUUAUCGAAAGAAGGAAACAUAGAAGAAUCCUAACCUGAUAUCAGAACAAAGUAUAAGUCAAUAAUACCACUAUCAAAAGAACAGUAAGUCUACAACCCAAAAUCUCAACAUCAUAGAGAUACAUCAAACUGUAGUUCCCGGUGCAAACCACACAGACAUCACAGGGUCACUCAAAAUAUAUAUACAAUGGUAGUCUCUCUAUAUACGGGUACAUCACCCUCGGCCGUAGCCCGAGUAGCAAGGUGAUCAUCUAGUCAAGCUCCAAGCUAUAUCUAGCUCGAUGCGACUCCCUUGCUACGAUCCCUAGCCUCUCCUGUAGCAGAGGGGUCUGCAAAAACAACAAUAAAAAUGGCGUGAGAACUAUUAAACAAUAGUUCUCAGUAGGUAAGCCGCCAGCCUCGGCGAAUUAUACCACUAGGCUCAUAAUGUACUAUUAGAAAGAUAAGAACAUUUAUUGCAUGAUAAGUAUAUCAAUGAUAAUUAACGAAGAGCACGUAUCAUACUAUCAACUAUUUUAACCCAUUAGAAGCAAGUACAGUGAUUCAAUGCAUUAACUACUUGUAAGUAAGCAAGGUAGUCAUUUAAAGCAUAAACAUGUCCUUGGAAACGUAAUGGUACAUCAAUCCUUAGUAAUCAUUUACUAUUAUUGUUUAGUAAUUUUAGUUUAUCUAUAAGGACCUACUCAAGGUAGUCCAGCUUGCGCCGCGCCUAAUAGCCCCGUGGUAUUAUACACUCCCCACGGCAAUCCACUUCGGCAUCCAAUCCCGCACGGGCGAGCAAUCUGUCGCGUAGGCCAACUCCGGAGUGCCGGCUUGUAAGGAGCGACCCUCACAAGCAUGUGCGAAAGAGCACAGUGGCAAGCAAGCACGAUCCAUAGUCUUACAGUUCUCAAUCAUCAUGUAUCAAGUAUAUAAGUUCCUAUUCUCGACCAAUAGGUCGGAAUUCAAUCAUAAUGUGACAUACCGGUAUCCACUAAAUUCAGCAACUAUAUAAAACAAUGCAUGUGUAUGUAUCUGUCAUUAGUGUUGAAGCUAGUCAAUACGGAUGCACAACCUAUCAGGUUACAAUUAACCUUCUUGCUCUCUACCUCAUAAAAAUAUGACGGAGACGUUUGAUGUUAUGUAGUUAAUGUGAGAUACCUGGUGUACAGUAGUGAAAGCUUGUCGACAGCUCUGGAGAGUGUCGGGACAAGUCUGAGUCACGUUGGCGCGAAAUAGACGCAAAACGGACUCUGUGCGACGCGAGAGCAGCAUUUAGCAAGAAAUUCUGCAAAUAGCUGUUUUCUGCUUGCUGUACCGGUACAGCCAUAACGGUGUACCGGUACACUGCUCAGGGCUUCACGCAACUUGCUCUCAGGUUGACCUCUGUACCGGUACACGGGCCCGUGUACCGGUACACCAGGGUAGGUAGGAGGACUUUUGGUCUUUUUCCACCUCGUUCGUGUCACCCUUUCUCUCUCUCUCUAUUUAGGCUUGUGUAGAGCUGAGAGAGAGAGAGAGAAUUUUCACUGUCCUUCUUCUCCCCUCUCUCUAGCUUGGACCGUGGGUAAGGAGGAGCUCGGGUAGAGUUCGAGUGUCAUCGACGUCGCGCCGCGGUGCCAUUCGAGUGUGUUUUCAUCGUCGUGGUGCUGCGAGGAGGCUGGAUGAGCAUGGUUUUUCACCGUCCUCGACGUUGUGCCGAUUCUAGAGGGGUUUUCGAGGUGAGUGAUCCAUCGAAAUCACUUCAAUUACUUCAAGCUCCUUCAAUUUCGAGCUAGGAUGUUGUUUUGCAGAAUUUCCGCGUCGACAGUCGGCAUUUCGGCUUGUACGCGACGUAGGAGUGUCGGAUUGCGACGAAAUUUGGUUCGUUGGAUUCAGGACUUCGAGAGGAAUCCACAAAGCCCAAGAUUACAGGAUUUGGUGAAGGUUAUCUUGGUCGAACCCUUAUUUUUACCGUGCUGUUGUUAUACGUGGACAGAAUUGAUGGAUUUUGAUUGUAGAGCUUGGAGUUAGCUCGAUUUCUGGACUUGGAGGAUUUCGAUCGAUCCAGCAGGUUAUUCCGCAGCUGAGGGAGUUCAUUGCUGCCAGGGAUUAGCUCUCGAGGUGGGUUUUCAUCGGGUUUACUCCUAAGUAAAGAUUAGUAAACAUGUAUAGUUUCCGAUUGUUUAUACUUCGUACUCGCUUAAAUUCAUUGAGUAGCGUAUUGGCUGAAAUUUGAAUUUGAAGCAUGUGUGGAAUCUAGUUAAACUAUACGUGUUGGACUUGGAAAUUAAAUUAGGAGAAAACCAGUGAUUUGGACCUGUCACUUGUUUACACUACCUGAUUUAGCUCUAGGAGCCGUUGUAAUUUUGUAUCGUCGCAGUAUCGAGGCGACGGAUACCCUAGGUAGUUUAGCUCUCAGUUACACUCGUGCUGGAAUGCCAAGUGUAUUUUUGCAGUAGCGUUCAGGCUGUUCCGGGCUGUUGGGUGCUGUCGAGGUUGACGGUGAACCCAUAUCGCCUUUUUGGCGUCGGAUUAUGCCGAGGGCACGUGACUGUUGGUUGUUAGACCAGUUAGUGUCGGUUACUUGGACUUUGGCUUGAGAGAGCCUGAUUGAGCUCGACAGAGAUACGCUGCAUACUCGGUUGGGUAGCUCCCACGAGUGCCACUCCGGAGAUGGGCAUUGUGCUUUCGCGUUGGUGUCGUGCAUGCCGGUUAGACUUGCUCUCCACGGACUGGAUAGUGUGGAGGUAGCUGGAUAGUCUCAACUGGGCGGGACGGGUGUGUUCACAGUCCCUAGAACGGGUAUGUUUACAGUCUCUAAAGAGAUUGGGUCAGAAUUGACAUUUCUACAGUAGGUUAGCUUAGAGCAUGAUAGUGUAAUAAAUGGUAGCUGUAGAUUUUAUUCCAGCAUUUAUUAUUACCUUUGCUUCCUUCUGUAGACUUAGUGGGUGGACCGAUGAUGUUGAGGGCGGCACCUACUGAGGACUACUUGUUUUUACAGUAGUUCUCACGUCCUGUUGUUACCCCGUUUUUGCAGAGUCAUCGUCUUCGGCUGCUGCUGUUGCUGAUCAGGAUCGAGGCAAGGGCGUCGCAAGUUAGAGCCCUACCCGACGAGCCAAGCUAGAGGUACCCCUACAGCAAGUAGUUGUUUUUGGUUGUAGUUCAUGUACAUACAGACGUUUAACUCGCCAGUGCGAGUAGUUUUGUAUCUUGGAUUUGGCGUAUGUAUAUGGAACUCGGUUUGUUUGAUUACUGGUUCUUCUAGCAACUCUAUACUACUGUUUGUAGUAUUGUAUGAUUUACAGGUACAGCUAUCGCUGCGUAUAUAGAGAAAAUUUCUUUGUAUACGGCGGAUUUGUCGGCGCGCCCGGGAAACGAGUAAUCCGGGACGUGACAGUUAAACUGAGU
This 3969-nucleotide long non-coding RNA is filed under the name Ananas comosus (pineapple). Its description in RNAcentral is "long non-coding RNA (ACOM_LNC016729)". Lineage: Eukaryota; Viridiplantae; Streptophyta; Magnoliopsida; Poales; Bromeliaceae. The record is from RNAcentral.